This is a long non-coding RNA of Mus musculus (house mouse), 1145 nucleotides long. RefSeq annotates it as predicted gene, 31618. The transcript is spliced from 3 exons. NCBI's taxonomy places the organism in Eukaryota, Metazoa, Chordata, Mammalia, Rodentia, Muridae. The record is from RefSeq and is a predicted model, not a curated record.
AGGAAUGGCCUCCAUAGACUCAAGUGUUUGAAUACUUGAUCCAUGGGGAGUGGAACUAUCAGGAGGGGUGGCCUUUUGGGAGUAGGUGUGGCUCCAUUGGAGGAAGUGUGUCACUAGGGGCUGGACUUUGAGGCUCUCACAUCUAAGAGCACAUCAUUAGGUUAUUUAUCUGAAAUUACUCUGAUUUUUUUUUUUAAAGUAGGCCCUCAAAAUGAUGGACAUCUCUCUCUUAGAACCAUCUUAGCCGUCUUACAGAGGUUUUGCUAUGUUACAUUUUCAUUUGAUUCUAGAAUCAAAACAUUUUAAUCCUUGAUAUCUUCAAUCAUCACCGAUCAUUGAAAAGUGCAUUGUUCAAACCCCAUGCACAGCAUGGCCUUGCUUGCCUUUGAUUGUAGAGAUCCCAGGAAGCCCAGGUAGACGUAGACGCUCUCCUUCCUGGAGCAUCGGUGGCGGCACUUGCCGUGGAGAUUCCAGCAUUUCUGAGCAUCACCUGAUACAAAGAAGAGGGAGCAGAUGGUGGCACUGGCGUAGCUAUCCUGGGUUACAGGAAACCUUUUCUAACUCCCUCACCUCCACCCCUCCCAAACCAAGAAAGAAAUAACAGUUCUGAUAGUCACAACAGGAUGAGGCUACACCUAACAGCUGGAUGCACAGAAGGGGCACAGACAGGAAUGGAUCCCACCGGGUCUGCAGGGGUGGCAGUCCUUGCUGCCUGAGACGAAGCUAAGCCCAGACCCACUUUUCUGUGAAGCGCCAGUCCUGCUUUGGCUUACAGAUGCCUCAGUGUCCCUCAGAUGAACGAAGUCUUUAAGCUCUAUUUGAACCACAGGUCAAGGCAUGGCAAAGGGCAAGGAAAACCUUUGAAGAGAAGGCCAGCUUCUAUACCAUCACCAUCAGCCUUGCCCUCUCUAGGUGUUCCCUCUUAGAGCACAGAAGGGGAGCAACGUUCCCAUGUGUCACCAAGGAAAGGAAUGACAACGAAUGCCCUCAAGGAUGUGGGGAAAGAGGAACCCUUGCUCACUGCUGGCGGAGUACAAAUCUGCACAAACAUUCUGGAACUCAGUACAGAGGUUCCCCAGCUGAAAUGAGAAUGGCCACGUGACCCAUAUGCAUCCUUCCUAAAUAUACUUAGAACCUUUACUGUA